RNAcentral lists this ribosomal RNA (254 nucleotides) under uncultured bacterium. RNAcentral describes it as "partial 16S ribosomal RNA". It matches the Rfam family "Bacterial small subunit ribosomal RNA", at positions 524 to 776 of the family's 1533-position model. The record is from RNAcentral.
UACGGGGGGAGCAAGCGUUGUUCGGAUUUACUGGGCGUAAAGGGCGCGUAGGCGGCCUCCGCAAGUCAGUUGUGAAAUCUCCGGGCUUAACUCGGAAAGGUCAACUGAUACUGCGGGGCUAGAGUGCGGAAGGGGCAACUGGAAUUCUUGGUGUAGCGGUGAAAUGCGUAGAUAUCAAGAGGAACACCUGAGGCGAAGGCGGGUUGCUGGGCCAACACUGACGCUGAGGCGCGAAAGCCAGGGGAGCAAACGGG